RNAcentral lists this long non-coding RNA (1197 nucleotides) under Zonotrichia albicollis (white-throated sparrow). RNAcentral's name for it is "lncRNA (ENSZALG00000001666.1)". The record is from RNAcentral. Lineage: Eukaryota; Metazoa; Chordata; Aves; Passeriformes; Passerellidae.
AUGUUCUUUUCUCUGGUAGCAUCUGUCCUCUCAAAACCCGGCUCCCACCUUCUCAGAAUUAAAAAUUUUGCUAUGGGACAGAUGGUCCACUGGACAGGCUUGUGCAUUGCGGUGGCAUCUCCUGGGCAUGGGCAGGAGCAGAGGGCACAUGCCAGGCACAGCCUGUGUUGCCACGUGCCAGAACACGCUCCCAACCUAAAAUGCAAUGGUUCUAACUGUGCCAGUGUCCUUGCACUUGGAUCUGCUUCAUGCACGGACUGGUCGUGUGGAUUUGCUUGGAAAAGUCAACUGACACUUUUCAAAGGCCAGGAAGCCGCCUCCUGGCCAUCCCACACCAGCCCACCCUGUCUCAGGUGUACUGUGGACCACUGCUGGAGCGGAGCUGAAGGGAUCUCGUACUUCUGGGAUGGGGCUUGGUCCGGUGCUGCUGCAGCCGGUAGCCUGGGAGCUGUGGGGCUGUUGUCAGCUGCACGUCCUGGGUCCGGCCAGCCGUGGGGCUGCAUCCCUCGUUCUGCGGGGCGCGCACACGGAUCCCUCCCGCGGGUAGCUGGAGCUGGCUGGAGAGCCGCAGUUGGCUCUGAAACGCAGAGAGCCCUGAGGACGGCCGUGGCUGCUGGCGCGCAGCUCCAGCCCGAGGCUCUCCCGUGCCCGCCCAAACCGCACACGAGGCGUCUGCAGACAGGCGCGCGGAGCCCGCCGGCGGGGAGGCGGCAGCGCGCGGGCACCGGGCACCGGGCAGGGGCGGCCGCUCCCUCUCCCUGCCGGCAGGAGGCGCCGCUCGGCCGCGGGAGCGCCGGGGCCGGGCUGGGCCGGGCCGGGCUGUGCGGGGCUGGGCUGUGCGGGGCCGGGCUGGGCUGUGCGGGGCUGGGCCGGGCCGGGCUGGGCUGUGCGGGGCCGGGCCGGGCUGUGCGGGGCUGGGCUGUGCGGGGCCGGGCUGUGCGGGGCUGGGCUGUGCGGGGCCGGGCUGUGCGGGGCUGUGCGGCCGGACGGUGCCGGCUCCGCUCCCGCCCGGUCACGGCCCUGCAGCAUCAUCUGUCCGCAGCAACGGGCAGAGGGCGGGAGCGCCUCUGCUGUGAGAAAAGGCAGCGAGAGCUGGGACUGCUCAGCCGGGAGGAGGGGGCACCUCAGAGCACCUUUCCAGUACCUAAAGGUCUCUGGGUAAGCUGGAGAGGAACAUUUCACCAGGGCUUGUGGUGA